CCCAGAUUCAGCUCCGUUCCUCAAAGAGCAUGCAGUCUUGCGCAUGGAUAACUAUGGCACUUCAUAGUUAGGGCCUGGGGCCCCCACGAAGGCUGAGAGCCACCCUUUCACAUUUAAGAGGCUGAGAUGCUGUGUCUCCCUGACUAGAGCAGCCUCAGGUUGGGGUGAGUGGAAGUCAUAACGCCACAGAAAUGUCACAGCCAAGGGAGGGACCUGUGGGCUCUUCUCCUUUCACUAUUGGCCAUGGCUAAACUGUGGAGCUUCUAAAUUCACACACGCCACCAGACACUGGGAACGUCCUGACGGGCAUAGAAGAGGAGUACAACAACACUCAGAUGUGGCCCUGGCCUGAGCUGCCCCCCGCUGCUCUUCUGUGUCUCAGUCAAGCCGAGCAGACCUCAGCAGGGGAGCGAGAAGCUGAGAGAAAUCUCCUUAAUGAGUUGAUGUUCAACUCUCCUCAACAAAAAACACUUCCCAGAUGUUUCCAGGACCUGGCAAGUCUUCAGUCACAAAGUGAGGGAUGAUCUCACACCUGCAGGAGAACGGAACUAUAUAGCCUGACCUCUCUGGAUUAUGCUUUUCAAGUUGUUCAAGGGCCACCUGGAAUAACCCUUGUCUCAGCUGUGCUGAAGGCUCACAGGCAGUACUUAUUGUGAGGCAAUAUGUUUACCCCACCCAAGUCAUAGGUCAUGGCAAAUGUGAUGGGUUGAAUUGUAUCCCCCCAAAAGACUCGCUGAAGUCCUAAUGCCCAAUACCUAUGAAUGUGACCUUAUUUGGAACAAGGGUCUUUGCCGACGCAAUCGUGUUAAGAUGAGGGUGUAUUGAGUGAGUGUAGGCCCUUAAUCCAAUGUGACUGGUGUCCUUAUAGGAGGAGGGCAGUUUGGACACAGACACCAACAAAGGGUAGAACACCGUGUGAAGUCAGAGCAGAGCAGACUGGAAAGAUACAGCUGCAAGCCAAGGAACAGCAAGGAUUGCCAGCUGCCAUCAGAAGCCAGGAAGCAGCAAGGAAUGAUUCUACCCCAUCUCAGUGAGAGCAUGGCCCUACUGACUCCUUGACUUCAGACUUCUGCCUGGAGGAAUCAUUAAGAGAAUAAAUUCCUGAUGUUUUAAACCCA
Molecule: long non-coding RNA, 1118 nt
Filed under: Felis catus (domestic cat)
Lineage: Eukaryota; Metazoa; Chordata; Mammalia; Carnivora; Felidae
Description: lncRNA (ENSFCAG00000044844.2)
Source: RNAcentral